AUACGAGUAAUACAGUAGUACUAACAUGAAGGUUUUGGCAUACGUGUUGGCUAUUUUAGCCAUUGUGUUUGCAGUUGUGAGCGGCAUGUCCGUGGGUGAUAAGCCAGCUGCUCUGAAAGAAGGUGCAAAGCGAGCUGGAUGUAAUGGAGGAGGGGGUGGUAGACCUCAGCAACCACCAUCGCAGCCACCAUCGCAGCCACCAGCACCACCAGCAACGGCAGCGCCAUCUAACAGCACUGGUUGAACGCAACAAAGGACUACGGCUAGACGUAUGACCCAACAACAUUGAACCAAUAAAC
Molecule: long non-coding RNA, 299 nt
Organism: Achroia grisella
Lineage: Eukaryota; Metazoa; Arthropoda; Insecta; Lepidoptera; Pyralidae
Exons: 3
Source: RefSeq, a predicted model, not a curated record